UAAGCAACAUCUAGGCCUCUCGUGAUUACUCCAGAGUAUGCUGAGAUAGGAAACAUAUAGGGAUCACCUCAUUGUGUGAAAAAGAAACACUAAUGCUUGAGCAAGUGGUAAAAUACGAGUCUACUAACUCGCAAGCUAAGGUAAAACGAGAACCACCUGUAAUGUAUAGCAGGGGACCCUGCAUAGAGAUAAAAGAAUGACUCUUUAGUUUACACGCUUAAACCUUCAUAAGCUGCCUCCUCUAUCUCGUCAUGGCACUCCGGGCAAACCUACUAUGUAGUGUUACUCUACUAGCAAACGGGCUAGCCACGAAUGGAAAAAUUGAUUGUUGUAUGUGUAGAAUACAAA
This 348-nucleotide long non-coding RNA is filed under the name Salvia miltiorrhiza (redroot sage). RNAcentral describes it as "long non-coding RNA (SMIL_LNC008109)". The record is from RNAcentral. Lineage: Eukaryota; Viridiplantae; Streptophyta; Magnoliopsida; Lamiales; Lamiaceae.